Molecule: long non-coding RNA, 13900 nt
Filed under: Lathyrus oleraceus (garden pea)
Lineage: Eukaryota; Viridiplantae; Streptophyta; Magnoliopsida; Fabales; Fabaceae
Description: Pisum sativum (pea) long non-coding RNA (PSAT_LNC020360)
Source: RNAcentral
ACCACCUUAAUCCCAUUUAACUCAGCAUUAAUCUUAGAGAUCCUUGAAGUUUAGUAUAAAGUGAAGAGAAAAAUCACAACCUUAAUCCCAUUUAACUCAGCAUUAAUCUUAGAGAUCCUUGAAAUUUAGUAUAAAGUGAAGAGAAAAAUUCACAUAUAGGGGAGACAAUUUUCACAUUCGCGGUACAUACAAUUUCCCACACACACGGUACAUAUUGUCCACUCAUUAUCCAAUUUCUCCAACAAAAAAACUUAUACCAAUUUUUCCAAAAAAAAAAAACCUACAACAAUUUCCACCUUAUUUAUUUUCUCUACCUAGUAUAAACCAUUACACAAUUAACACUCAUCCAUUACUUCCAAAAUACCAUUACUAUAAAUCAUACAAACUCCAACCAUUCAAUUUACAGAAGCUUCAAUAUUGUCAUUUUUCAUCAAACAAAAUAGUUAUACACUACAACCCGCACCACCAUGGCUAUCAUCAACAAUAACAUUCAAAUUCCUUUGAACCAUACCCACAACACGACAUAAAAGAAAAUAAAAAAAUAGUGAAAAUAUAAACCAAAAAAAAAAGGAAGUGGAAGAAGAAGAACAUCACAACACGCACAAACCGGCGCCUAUCACUACCGUCUCUGACGACCGCGCUCCGACCACCAUCACCAUGAUCAGAAAACGCACGUUGUCACCUGCUCUAACACCUCUGUGCAACUCUCCUCCCACAACCACGUCCUACCUGCUCGUGCGACCGCCACAGAGCCGGUGCAACCACCGAGCAAGUCGUCAAAUCGAUCCGCCGCAGAUCUGGUCGCAAGCCUUUUCCUUCCGGUUAGUCGUGCAUUCUUCCAUUUUUAUUUACAUAUUUUCUCUUAUCUUUCAAUUUGUUUUCUUUCAUUUCUAUGAAUGACUUUUUUCUCCAGUUUUUUUGUUUCAAAUAUGAAAAACUAAAAAAUAGAUGGAAGUGUGAUUGUCGUUUCUUUCCAUUCCCUCUGUAUUUUCUAACUCUGCUUUUUAUAUCUUUUAGCAAAGUUUGAUAUUUUGGAUUUUGAUUAGUGACUCAUGGAUUUAUUAUAAUAUUGUAUGCCACUUGUGAAGAUCCCAUGAGUAUUGUGUUUUCUAUUCAUACAUACUAUAUUAGAUUACUGUCACACAUGGUUCUUUUCCACUUUAUGAUGGACAUGAGUAUGAUGCCCAUGGCUUAAGAAUUGUGCAAUUUUUUCUCAACUAGUUUGUUAAUAUAUAGUAAGCAUUGUAAUGUCAUUGUAAAUAUAUACUUGCAAAGUCAAGUUACUUUUUUUUUCCUCUAAAACAAAUUAAUCAUUCUAUUUUUGCUUUUAAAAAAAAAGUUUCUGAUCUCUAAAUUAAAUGUGUCAAUAUUGGGCCAUGUAUAUAAUUUGCUUUUUUUAAAAGUAAAUUUUUCAUAAAUCCUUAAAUAAAUAUCGAAAUACAAAAACAUUUUCAUUCACUAAAAACUAAUAAAAAAGAAUAAAAAAUAUAAUUAGUUAUGAAAUAUUAAUCAAGAAUUUAUGAUUAAUAAUAUUAAAUUAGGAUAAUUUGGGUUAAUUAAUAAGAAUAAAAAAUAUAAUUAGUUAUGAAAUAUUAAUCAAGAAUUUAUGAUUAAUAAUAUUAAAUUAGGAUAAUUUGGGUUAAUUAAUAUUUCUACAAUAAUUCUUAGUUAGGAUUAUAAUAUAGAAAUUCAUAAAAGUAAUUUAGGGGUUUAAUAUAAUUAGGGAUUAAAUAAAAAUAUAUAAUUAAAUAAUUACUUACAUAAUCAUAAUUAACAAAAUAUAAUUAAUAUUAUGGAUUAUUUUAGAAUAAUUAGGCAGGUUGGAAUUAGGGAAUAAUUCUUAAAAAUGGGUUAAUAUAAAUAAAAUAAUAAUAAUAAUGGGAUUAAUUAUAGGGAUAUUAAUCUAUUAAGGGUUAAUUUAUGAGAUAAUUUAGGGAUAAUUAUGGGAUAAAUAUCUAGGGUUUUAGGGAUGAAAAAUUAGGGAUAAUAUUAGGGAUAAGGGAUAUAUCAUUUAUCAUUUAAUAUUCAAGUAUAAUCACUAAUUUAUUUUCUUAAAUAAAUUAAAUAUUUUUUUUUUGCAAAAACAAUUAAGGGAUAAAAUCAAAUUCAAUCCAUCUCAAACUAUAAGUCCUCUACCCUAGUGUAUUGAGGCAUUUUCUUAAAAAUCAAUCACUCCUCCGCCCCCGAUGCGUGAGAAUUUUCAAGGGUUAAAAACAAUCAACAAACAACUUUUUAUAGAAGAACUACGGUACUAUGAUCCCUCGCCUAAUGCGAAGGUACGUAGGCAGAGAGUUGUAAACUCUAGCGAGUACAGUUAUGAAAAAUAUUUUUGGGUCUCUCGUCCAUUUAAAAGUAAUACUUUCUGUAAAUAAAUAACUAAUUAAUAAUUAAUAAAUAUCAAAGCAAACAUUUUAGAAACAUACACUAACCUUAAAAUUGUAGGAGAAUCCCAUUGAGUACAAUGGAGGUAAGGGGUGCCUAACACCUUCCCCUUUCUUAACCGACUCCCAAACCUAGUCUCUUACUCUUAACUAUUAGGUUUUUAUCAUUAUUUCCCUGUUCCUUAGGAACGAAUAAAGGAUGGUGGCGACUCUGUCAUUUUUCCAGCCGCGACAGGAAUAAAAUGAGCAUACUUCAUCAACCUAUCCAUAAUUACCCAGAUAUUAUCCCCAUUUGUCACCUUCUUGGGCAAUCCAUACACAAAAGCCAUCAAAUGUAUCCCAUUUCCAAUCAGAAAUAGGCAAUGGUUGCAUCAAACCCAACAGCUUUUGAUACUCAACCUUUGACUUCCGGCAAGUUAGACAUGCAUACACAAACUUUGCAAUCUCUUUCUUCAUUCCAGGCAACCAAAACAUCUUCCUCAAAUUCUGAUACAUCUUUGUAGCAUCGGGAUGAAUACUCAAACCACUCAUGUGACUCUCCUCAAGAAUAAUCUUCUUAAGCUCAGGUACAUCUGGAAUACAACUCCAUAUCUGAACCUCAUCACAAGAUUCUCAUCGACUCGAAAAUCAGCUCCGUUACCCUGGUUGAUUAAUGUGAAACGGUCUAUCAAACUCAAAUUGGAUCUCCGACCCUCUAUGUUCUCUUCAAGGAUACCACUCGUCAGAUUUAACAUACCCAACUUCAUAGUAUUAGGAGUUUCUUCACACAUUAAACUCAUAUCUAUGAGUUGCUCAAUCAGUUCUAACUCUCGAACCGUAAACAUUAACAUGCGUAAGGACUUCCUACUUAUCGCAUCAGUUACAACAUUGGCUUUACCCGGAUGAUAACUCGAAUCAAAAUCAUAAUCCUUCAGAAGUUCAAGCCACUUCCUCUGCCUUAUAUUAAACUCUUCGGAUCAAAUAAAUAUUUCAAACUCUUAUGAUCACUAAACACUUUGAAUUUGGAUCCAAAUAGAAAGUGCCUCCAAAUCUUCAAUACGAAUACCACUGCUGCCAACUCAAGAUCAUGCGUAGGGUAAUUCCUUUCAUGAACUCUCAGUUGUCUCGAAGCAUAAGCCACAACCUAACCAUUUUGCAUCAACACACCUCUCAGACCUAUCUUCGAAGAACCACAAUAUACAACAAGGGACUCACUUGGAUUCAACGAAAUCAAAAUUGGAGCAGACAUCGACUUCUUCUUGAGUUCUUGGAAACUCUCUUCACAAUGCACAUCCCAAACCUAGGCUUGACCCUUUCGAGUCAACUGAGUUAACAACAAUGCUAACUUUGAAAAAACCUUUAAUGAACUUUAUGUAGUAACCAACCAAUCCAAGGAAAAUUCUAAUCUCAGUGAUAGACUUCAGAGUCUCCCAUUGUAACACACCAUCUAUCUUCGCUGGAUCCACAAUUAUAUCACCACUAGAAAUCACAUGAUCAAGGAAACUCACUUUUCUUAAGUAGAACUCACACUUGGGAAACUUUGCGUACAACUGGUUCUCUUUAAAUGUCUACAAUACAAUUUUCAGAUGUUCCACACAUAGCCUCAUACUAUCAUUCUUCUUCUUCACUAACAACAUUGGCGCACCCCAUGGCGAAACACUCGGACGAACAAACUUCUUUUCAAUUAGAUCUUCUAGUUUCUUCCUCAAUUCACUCAUCUGAAGCAUAUUUUCUAUAAGGAUUCAUUAUCUGGUACUAUGUUGAUGGCAAACUCAACCUCACACUCUGGUGGUAAGUCACAAAUAUGCUCUAGAAAUACAUUUGAAAAAUCACAUACAACUGGCAACUCAAUCAUUGCAGCUUUAUUGUCGACUUGCAAGGACGAAAACAUCGUGAACACACAAGCCUCACAUUCCAAGAAUCCUUAUACUUGCGUAACAGAUGGAAAAACUCUCCACUUUUAUUGAACUCGACUUCACGGUCUGAAGGAAAGUCGCAUAUAUCUUAUAGGAAAAACACCAAGGAUCACACACCACUGGCACAACAUUAGCCAUCACAUUGCUCUCUACUCUUCGAGAAUCCAACAUCAACAAUACCUGAUCGUUCUCCCUAAAGACAUCCCAAUUUCGCAGACAUACAUGAAUCUCAAAUCCACAACAUCUUCAAUGUCAGGAACAACAUAGCUUCGGCAUUGCAUGAGCUCUUGCAGUUAGCGACACACUGCACCAACUUAUCCAAAUAAUUGGUAAAUACUUGGUUUAACUCCAACAAUUUAUUCCCAAAAUAAAAUCAACUUAUUCCAACCAAAUACAAACCGUACAUAUCCUCAGGGACAACAUACCCAACACACCACUGGCUCAUCUCUAGCCAAAACAUCGCAUCCCCCUUCACAAGGAAGCAAACAAAUAGAACACCUGACAGUUUUCCCUCAAGGAUCACACCAUUUUGCUAACCGGGGCCUUCCUUGAAUCUGACCUUUUUUCAGGUUCAGGAAAAGCACAACGUUCUCAAAACAGUUGAAUUAGCCAACACCACACUCUCGCUUGUAGAAAAAUGAUGUUCAAGAUCUCAACAAAUGGAACAUCCAAGAGAAGCAAUCACUUCCCCCCCCCCCCCCCACCCACUUGUUUCNACCCACUUGUUUCAUUCCCAAGUUGCAAAUGGAAAACAAAACAAGCAUCGAAAGUAUUCUCACACACAUGUCGCAUACUAGGGAACAAACAUAAUUAAACAACUUGGCCAGAUGGACCGGCCUGCUUUGGUACGACUUUAUAACACACUAAACCCCAAAUACAAUUUUAAUGCAUAAUUGAAUAAAAUUGCAACCACAAAGGGUGUCAGUUACAUCAAACAUAUCCUGCUCCGUAACACGAUUUAUAAAUUUUACAUAAACACAUGUCAGCGCAUGCUGACCUUCACUUAGGGUCUCAUCACAACUGAAUGAUAAUUAAAGCAACUAAAAAACAUAUUACACUCAUACCAUUUAUAGUCAACUUCAACUUCCAUAGUAAAUAAAGAGUUUAAAUAAAUCAUCUCAACAACCAAUUCAGUUAUAAUACUUUAACAUAAACAUGACAUAAGAAGUAAAAGAAAACAUUCCCAGCCCGAUGUUACGUGGUCAAAGCAUGACCCUACUAAAGAAAAUGAAAAGCUAUUAGAAGCCACUCCAAGAGCUACCUUCCACUUACUUCAGCAAUGCUACUCUUGAGCAUCUGCACAAUGCCCAUGUAAAGGCAACAUUCAAACAAAAGGGGUGAUAAUUCAUUUCAAUAAUAAACGGCAUAGAAUGAAGAAUAGAGUACAACAUCUACACAAUCAUGCUCAACGUUAUAUCACAUUCUCACAACCAAAUAAUAAUCAACAUCAUACAUGACAACAUCUCCAUUAUCAUUAACAUCAUAGAAAACCACAUCUCAAUUAUCGUUAACAUCAUAUGCAACAACAUUUCAAUAAUAACCAAUACAAAUGCAACACUUAUCCAAUGUACUCAACACUGACUCGACAUGCAUUUCGUACCAAAUAUGAACACUCAGAUUCAUCUCACUCCAUGAUCCCUACCAUAGGAUCGAUUCCCUCUUGGAACCAGAGCACACAAAAACUCAUUACCAUCAGCACAGGUAACACUUCACUAAUCCCCCAUAAUAGGAAUUAGCUACUCGCAUCCGAUUCAUCACCAUAGGAUCGAGGCUCACCAAAAUUGGACCGAAACCUGUACACCAAGAUGCAUGACUCUCAAAUAACAUGCAUUAACAUAACAAGGUUCACCAAAAGGAUCCCCACACACAUCUCAUCAUUUAUGUAUCACAUCAUUCAUCAUACAACAACCAAUUCAUGUUACCACAUGAAUAAUAUCAAUAAAAAGCAACAAUUCGUCAACAUCUUAACAUCGUCGACAUGAUAACAUAAUUAUCACACCACGAUAUUACAACAAUGCAACGAUUCAUCAAUCAAACGUAUGAACCAAUACAUUUAUUAACAUAGUAGGCAUGUGAAUAAUUUUCAACAUCUCAAUAAUCACUACCAUGUUAUACGUCUGAGCAUUAGCUUUCUAACGCUUCAAACACCACCAAAAUUGGACUUACGGAAUAAAAGUUAGGACCAAAAAUCAUCGUGAUAUGUCAACAAUUCAUUAACCAACGUAUGAACAAAAACUCCACCAACAUAGUAGGCAUAUGAAUAAUACUCAAACAAUUCACUUAUCACCAUCACUUUAUAUCUCUGAGAGUCAGCUUUCUAAUGCUUCAAACCCCAACCCAAAAUGAUUGACGAGUUGAAGGUUAUGAUCAAAACCGUGCACAAAGGCGUUACUAAAAAGUUGUUGUUUUUCUAAAGUUUCCAACACGAUUUUCUUCUUCUUCAAUCCCAAAAUUAUCCAGGAAAUAAUCACCAAAAUUAUUUUAUCCCUGACACAAAGUUAUACCCCUCUAUUUCGAAUAUCCAACACUUCAAAUGAAACUUAAUUUGGACUUACGGAUCAAAAGUUAUGAUCAAAAUGAUUUCAACCGAAAAACACGAACAGAGGCUCCCGCGCUGAGCGCGGUCGUGACAGACAAAAUGCAGAAUGGUUUGCGUUUUUCAUCGUUGGAGGCCUUCUGGGCCUCCAAUUUCGAUUCCGUAAAAAUCCAAAUGCUCAGAAAAUUAUAACUCAUGCAAUACUCUAAUUAUCUUAAGUUAAUUUUCAGUUGUAACAUAAUUAAAUCAUCUAAUUAUUGUUUUAAGAUUAUGCAUAAAACCUUCGAAAUUGCAACAAUGAUGGAUAUAAAUUCAAUCAUGAAAACAUAAAAAAUACACGCAUGUAAGGCACACGAAAUUCAUCAUAUAACAACCAUCAUAGCAUCCCAAUGCAAAAUUAUGAUUCAAAACACCCAAUCCUAAGGUGGUUAAGGGUUCAUCCAUUCUACCCUUCUACUAUACCCUUUACUAUUGGAACAAAUUCCCACCCUUAUGUGAUCUCCAGCAAAAGCCCUUGAUCUUCUUCUUCAAUCUCAAGCUUUUGCUCUCCUUUUUUGCCUCUUUUGAUCCAAUCUCACUUACUGACAAAAUCACCCAAAAACCUAGCUUUUCUCCCAACUUUUGAAAUAUAUAGUAAUUUCCUUACCUUUGCUUAAUUAUUAUUUUCGCCCAAUUUAAUUCUAGCUUCCCUCUUCUUACCAUAAACUCUCCUUAAAUUCUACAAUUGGCCCAGACUCCUUUUCUCUCCAAUUUCUUAUUUUAUCAAUAAUAAUAAAUAAAAUUCUAAUUAUUAUAAUUAUUUUCUAACUUACUCAAUCGUCUCAUCGCACCCUACUAUUUCUACCGCACCCCAACAACAUAUAUUCAAAUAAUUUAUUUUAAAUCGCACCAACAUCUAAUAAUUAAAUAAAACACCAAAAAAUAUCAUGAAUCACCAAUAAUUCAAAAUAAAAUAAUUAAUAAAAUUGCGGUGUUACAAGAUGCAUCACCAGUAUAAGACUUCUGCUGGCUUUUACCAUUUUUUUGUCGAACUUGUCAUCUCUCUUUGUGAAUUUCGCCUUAACCGACAGGCCUUCACUAGUCGAAGAUGGCUUGUGCUCCUUUCGUUCGUUGAAAUCCUUAAAAUACAAGGUUGAUUGAACUUUUUCAAUGGUCAAAGACUCUCUUUCAUACAAGAGAGUUUCUGUGAAGUGAGCAUGUGAUUUGAGCAAAGCACACAACAACAAUAGCGCUAGAUCCCUAUCCUCGAUCUUGACAUCGAUAUUUUCAAGAUCAAGAAUCAACUUGUUGAACAUAUCCAACUGCUUUUCCAGAACUAUGUCUUCACUCAUCUUGAGAGAAUACAAAAUUUUCUUUAGGUAGAGGCGAUUGACCAACGAUUUGGUCAUGUACAAACUUUUAAGUUUCACCCAUAACCCCGACGUUGUCGUCUCCUUCAAAACCUAUCGAAAAACCUUAUCAUCAAGUCCCAAUGAGAUGAUGUUGUGGGUUUUCUCUACCAUAGUCGUUUUUUCUUUGUCCGUUAACGCAUCGUCCAUGGCUUCGGAUCCCUUCAAUGCUUCUAAACAACCAUGUUGAACCAAUAGGACUUUCAUUUUUAAGCCCCACAGACCGAAAUCGUUCACUCUGGUAAACUUUUCAAUCUCAUACUUUGUUGACGACAUCUUCUCUAUGCUCACCGCACUAAUUUGUUGUGAAAAAUGAUGUUAGAAUAACAAAGUAUAAUCAGUUUCUUGAUCGGAAAGAAACUCGCAAUGGUAGAAAAGAGGGAAGCAAGAAGAAUAUAAUGAAAUUGAUUAUAAAUUGUUAUUCUUUACUUUCUCUUCGGAACAAGAUUACAAGUGUUACAGAAUAGAAAAUAACCUCUCUCACCCUAAUUAGGAUUUGCGUUAUACAAUGAUGAGAGACUAGUAUGCUAUUUAUAAGAAAACUAACAAUCUAAACUAAUGAGCUUUUACAGACAGACUCAUUACACAAGCUAACUUAGAGAACAAGCUAACUUAAACAAUUUGGCAUAACAAACAGGCCAAAUUUGACAUGCUAACAAUCCUAGCAUACUUCGACUACAACAUGUGAACAGACUUCGACGACAUGCUAAGGUCCUUUCGAAUUGUCAAACCAAGAAGCUAUUAUUCGAUCAUACUAGAGUUCGAUCCAACUUAGACGACAUGCUAAGGUUCUGUCGAAUUGUCGAACCAACAAGCUACUCUUCGACCAUACUAAAAUUCAAUCCAAUAUCUCACAUUAUAACAAGCGAUGGAUAAAGUUAAAUUACCGAGGGCUUACCUACAAUAACGUGGCCCUCGAUAAAAUGCUCCUUGGUAACAAGUACCCACGGUCACAUGGGCCUACAAUAUUACCCUCGGUCUAACUUUGAGUUAUUUGUCGAUAACCAUAACUUAGGAAGAAAAUUAUUUUUCUUAUAUACCCACAACUUAGUAGUCCAUAGUUUUGAAAUAACAUUGCUCAAGGUUUAGCCAUAUAUAUAUAUAAUCAUAUAACCAUUGAUCUUUAUGUAAUGAAUAAAAUCUAAAAUAAAGCCAAAAAUUCAAACUUUAAUAUCAAUUCUAAAUCUCAAAAUAUCUAUCGGUUCAAACUUUUAUAUUACAUUUUGAUCCGUCUGAGCGUUUUAACCAGGCGUUUUCUAUUUUAAAAUUUGAUAAAAACUGUUUUCGAGAAGUUUAUUUCACGAUGAUUAUUGUGGUGCAAUCAUUUUACUUUUUUGAACACUUUUGCUUCCGAUUUUUAUUCGUUUUUAUCAAUCUAUUUCCGUUUUUUAGGAUUAUUUAGAAUUAUUUGUGUUUUUUAUUUGAAUUUUUAUUGUGCAUUUUUUAUUUAUUAAUUUUUUAAGUUAUGUAUUUUUAAUUUAAUUUAUUAUACAAAAAUCAAGAAAUAACAAAAAAAUAUUUUUCCCUCCAUUCAUCAAAGGCCAUGUGGCCACUCACAUUUGAUUUUCAGCUGGAUUUUGUUUUGAUAGUGGUGGAGAGACCACCUAUUUCUUGUUCUACGUAUUGCAUGGCAAAAGAGAGACUAUUAGACGAUAGGUCUAGAUCUAGAGGGGGGUGAAUAGUUCCCAAGUUAAAAAUUCAUCCUAAAAUUUGAUUUAGAAAAAUUUAUGACGCGGAAGCAAGUUUCAAAUAUCUACGAAUCAAAAAUUGUUUAACCGAACCUACUAUUGAAUAGCCUGGAUAUGCGUAAAGGUGUCAAUGUUAUGAUAAUAAUUCACAAGUCAAUCAACAACAGUUAAGCACAACCAAUCGAAUACUCUACAAUAGUAAAAGUCUAUGUCCAAUGAUAUCCACACACAAAAUAGCUAAGUCAAACAAUUUGUCGAACACUUGAUGUACGAAAAAUAAAGUUUGGACUUUUAUAUCGUGUUUGUUGUUCUAAGAAAUCCAGUCACAACCAAAUCAUUAGUGAUCAAUACAACAAACACAAGAUUCAAAAUAUAAUCAAAAUUAUGAUCCAAAUUAUGUUGAUUUUGUGAUCAAAACAAUCGACAAUUUGUGAAUCAUAAAAUAAAAGAGAGAGAGAGAGAGAGAGAGAGAGAGAGAGAGAGAGAGAGAGAGAGAGAAAGAGAGAGAGUACAUAAGGAUUUGUUUAGGCAGUUCCCAAAUCGACCUCGCUAUAGGUACGUCUACCCUCAAACAAUCGACAAUUUGUGAAUCAUAAAAUAAAAGAGAGAGAGAGAGAGAGAGAGAGAGAGAGAGAGAGAGAGAGAGAGAGAAAGAGAGAGAGUACAUAAGGAUUUGUUUAGGCAGUUCCCAAAUCGACCUCGCUAUAGGUACGUCUACCCUCAAUUUGAAUUCGAAUUGAGAUAUUAUUAUUAUAAAUCUUGCUUUGUAAAUGUAUGUAUACAAGAUAUGAGAGAUCAAAUCCCACAAACCCUAAGUUUGUUCUUGACUCUAGCACCUCCAAAAACCUUGAUCAAAGAUUGAUUAAGACACCAACGUUGUUGCUUCAAUUCACCUGUUGUUGUUAUUCCUUGCAUGACCUCAUUGUCUCAAAGCUUUCACUCGGCUGAAUUAAUCUCAAGCGCACACUUGUUGAACCCAAGAUUUGUCAACACGAUCCACCGUUGCAUGCUACUCCCUUGCAUGACAUACCUAGUCCCAAGGCUUUCACUCGAUCGGAUAUGGAUUGAACUAUCUUGUUCCAGUCCUUCAAACCCUAAAGAUCUUGAAGGAAAACCCUAAAUUGGUUUUCUUAUUUGAAUCCCUCAAAGAUCACAACCCAAUAUUCUCGGUACAACAAACCUAAUUGGACGUUAUCAAUCCUAAUCUAGAUGGCACCCAAUUAAAAAAUGAUUAUGUGUUGUUUGAUUGUGUGUAUGCAUAGAUUGAAUUGAAGAUGAUGAGAUGCUUUGAAAUCCUGGAUUCAUGUAGGUUUUACUCACUCUUGAAACCUUGCUAGAGAAAGAUGCAUGUACCAAUUAUAUAUAUGUGUAAGACUCAUAAGAAGCAAAAGAAAUGCAAAAGGAAUUGAAACAAAUGCACAUGAGACAGACGCUACAGACUUUAAGGUUAUGUGUUGUUUAUAGGUAGACUUGAAGACUUGGCACAUGAGACAGACGCUACAGACUUUAAAACUGCAGCAUACGUGUCGACCUGUACAUUUUAUGUGUCGACCUGGAAUUUAAAAAAGUCAUCUAUAGGUCGACCUAUAGUCGUAUGUGUCGACCUAUAAUAAGGAUUUUUCACUUUAAACCAAUUUUUUCAUGCUCAACACAAUAUUUUGACGCACAAAUAUUUUCCAGACCAUUUCCAACAAUGUUGACAUGCUUCCAAAUGCAAGAACGCUGAAAUGCAUAGCUAGACUCGGAUGAUACCAUCUAAUGUAUAUAAACGUUAUUUCAUAGUUUUUACAUCAUUCAAAACAUAUCUAAACAAAUGGAUGCACUCACAGGGACCACCACCGAUUAAUGACCACACGACGCAGAGUGACAAGGAGGAGGUGUUUGUUAUUGAAAUAAAAAAGGUGAGUUCUUUCACUAUAAAAAAAUGCAAACUUUUCUUUCUCCUGGAUAACACAUUUUCACUACUUUUUCAUCCUCUCUAAAAACAACAACAUCAUAUCUCUCUUUCCAUUUUUUCACGAAAAAAACUCCUACACUCUUUCCUGUUUUUCUUCAUUAUUUCUUCCUGCUUCCUUCCCUCACGACAUAACUCUUUCCUUCGUCCAUAUUUUUUCUUCACUCUUAACUCCCUCAUCCACGACAUCAAACACGUGUUGCACACCUCCUCACACCACCACCAUAAACCAAACUCCCUUCUUCACCCUUAUCUCCCUAACACAUCCUCCUCCUCCAUCCAUUUUCCAAACCUACGACCACGAACAACCACAACCACCUCCAUACGACCCACCUUCCACUUCAUCCCUCAUCUUUGCGCCAAACACCCCCUAACUGAACAACACCACGACUGUAACUAAACAACCUCACCCCAUGCAAAACCUUCACCCUUUCAAACACUAAACCACCUUCACACCACUUGCUAUAAAACCUCAACACCAUCAACCACCACCACGGUCUCCAUAAUAACUGCGGUUGUACCAUCAAAACCUUUCUCCAUAACUUCCAUUAAACACACUUCACUUGCUCCACAAUAACACCACACAAACUAUUCACUUCCGUUUUCAUAAUGUUUACGUACAUGUUCAUUUCCGGUUUGGUUUGUUUAAACUUUAUGACUUUAUGGUUGGUUGGUUGAUAGUGUGUGGUUCAUGAUAUUCAUGCUUCUCAUUUAUAUUUUUGUGAGUUUUCGUUUUAAUGGAGUUGGUUUGGGUUUUUGUUGAGAUUUUUCGUUUUCAUGGCAUAGGGAAGAAGAAGAUGAACAUGUGUGUAUAAUAUGCUACUACUGAGUUUUAUUUUGUUUUUUAAUUAUUUACGCGUUUUGUUUUAGACAUAUUAAUCAUUUCCAUGUUAUACAACUAAUUGGGCAUGGUGGAGUGGUUGAGACCUCGGCCUCCCAACCACCAUGUCCCAAGUUUGAACCUAGCCUGCACCAUUUCUACAUUUUUUCAUGUUUUUCUUUUCUUUUCCAUUUUAUCAAGCAUUAUAUAUAUAUAUAUAAAUAUAUAUAUAUAUAUAUAUAUAUAUAUAUAUAUAUAUAUAUAUAUAUAUAUAAUAUAUAUAAUAUAUUAUUAUAUAUAAUAUAUAUAUAUAUAUUAUAUAAUAUAUAUAUAUGUGUGUGUGUGUGUGUGUGUGUGUGUGUGUGUGUGUGUGUAUGGGUGUAAUUAUUUAUCAGCAAUAGGAUCAUGGGAGAAUGAUUGAAGUAUCAUGCCUCUUGCCCCCAUGUCCUGGGUUUAAACCCUUGCUUCCACUUUUCCUUGUAUUUUCUAAUUUUUUCCAUUUUUUAAUUUCUUUUUCACCCUUAUUUUUUAUUUUUUUCCCAUUUUUUCAGCUAUCCGAUUUUAUUUUAUUUUUGAUUUUUGUGAUACCUACUUCUUGUUAUGACAUUAUCUUUUCAAUUUAAUUUAAUUUUUUUCCACUUAUUUUAUUCCGAUUACGGCAGUUGUAAAAGCACCAUGUGAAGGUUAAAACAAUGCAUUACUUGUUGGAUUUUUGCUUGGUUUCUUUGAAUCUUGUCAUUGUUAGACAUCAAAUUUUAAUCCAUGGACUCGACAUUUCCAUGUUAUUAUUCCACCGAUUAGUUUAUUGAUACAUUGAUGGUAUUUCGCUGCGUUUAGACCCGUCGCAUACGCUAUAUCUAUUGUUGUUAAUACACGCAAAUCGGCUUUGAGCUCAUUACCUAGCGUUAAGUAUGCACCUCUCAAUUUCAUUUUGCCUUGCAGGUUCUUGCGUUAUGUGACUUUGAUUCGCAUCCUUGCAUCUUGGUUUUAAUUCGUGCAUGCUUCGAUUUAACUUCUUUCAAUUUAAUUGUUCAACGUGUUGUAAAUAUACCUUGUGUGUGGCUAUUUUCUUCACAUGACUUACUUUUGGGUCUUCUUACAAUAAGACCAUUCUCUUGCACUUACACUCAUUUAUUAUUGUUUGUUGAUUGGGAUUUAUUAAAUUGUUUCAUUAUCUUGUAUCCCUAUUCAAAAAAAUGUACCCCAAUAACAAAUUAAUCCAUUUCUAUCCAUUCCAA